GAUGAACGCUGGCGGCGUGCCUAACACAUGCAAGUCGAGCGAUUUACUUCGGUAAAGAGCGGCGGACGGGUGAGUAACGCGUGGGUAACCUGCCUCAUACACAUGGAUAACAUACCGAAAGGUAUGCUAAUACAAGAUGAUAUAAGAGAUUCGCAUGGAUUUCUUAUCAAAGCUCCGGCGGUAUGAGAUGGACCCGCGUCUGAUUAGCUAGUUGGUAAGGUAACGGCUUACCAAGGCGACGAUCAGUAGCCGACCUGAGAGGGUGAUCGGCCACAUUGGAACUGAGACACGGUCCAAACUCCUACAGGAGGCAGCAGUGGGGAAUAUUGCACAAUGGGCGAAAGCCUGAUGCAGCAACGCCGCGUGAGCGAUGAAGGCCUUCGGGUCGUAAAGCUCUGUCCUCAAGGAAGAUAAUGACGGUACUUGAGGAGGAAGCCCCGGCUAACUACGUGCCAGCAGCCGCCGUAA
RNAcentral lists this ribosomal RNA (468 nucleotides) under uncultured bacterium. RNAcentral describes it as "partial 16S ribosomal RNA". It matches the Rfam family "Bacterial small subunit ribosomal RNA", at positions 28 to 523 of the family's 1533-position model. The record is from RNAcentral.